GAAAUGCGAUAAGUAAUGUGAAUUGCAGAAUUCAGUGAAUCAUCGAAUCUUUGAACGCACCUUGCGCUCCUUGGUAUUCCUUGGAGCAUGCCUGUUUGAGUAUCAUGAAAUCUUCAAAGUAAAUCUUUUGUUAACUCAAUUGGUUUCUACUUUGGUAUUGGAGGUCUUUGCAGCUUCACACCUGCUCCUCUUUGUUCAUUAGCUGGAUCUCAGUGUUAUGCUUGGUUCCACUCGGCGUGAUAAGUUAUCUAUCGCUGAGGACACUGUAAAAGGUGGCCAAGGUAAAUGCAGAUGAACCGCUUCUAAUAGUCCAUUGACUUGGACAAUACUUUUAUGAUCUGAUCUGAAAUCAGGUGGGACUACCCGCUGAACUUAAGC
RNAcentral lists this unclassified non-coding RNA (378 nucleotides) under plant metagenome. RNAcentral's name for it is "partial contains 5.8S ribosomal RNA, internal transcribed spacer 2, and large subunit ribosomal RNA". The stretch from base 1 to 105 matches the Rfam family "5.8S ribosomal RNA", at positions 50 to 154 of the family's 154-position model. The record is from RNAcentral.